CUCUUCCUUCUCUGCCUUCUCUCUACCCUUACACUCAUUUGAACCGUUGCAUUUCUAAUUAGGUGGUGUUCUUUCGCUCACGGAGUUGAGAGCUUCCCUUUUAUCCGAUUAGAUUUCCAUUUGGACGGGUGGUUGUAGGGUACUGUUUGGGUUUUCGCUGUGAAGGCACGGUUAGGGCACUCUAGUUGGCUAUACUGCUCAACUUCAAGAUGGCGAGGAGGUUCCUUUGGAGACAACUUUGGAAGUUGAGGACAAUGUUGCUGCCUAGUCUCCUAGGAUGUUAUUAGUUGAUUCUGUAUUCUGAAAUACUAUUUUCCUUUCAGCUUACAUUUUAGAUCUCUUUGGAUUUUAAACUUAGAUUUUGAAGUUACUUUGAGAUGACUGUAAUCCUAUUUACU
This is a long non-coding RNA of Vigna angularis (adzuki bean), 398 nucleotides long. RefSeq lists it as uncharacterized. The record is from RefSeq and is a predicted model, not a curated record. Lineage: Eukaryota; Viridiplantae; Streptophyta; Magnoliopsida; Fabales; Fabaceae. The transcript has 3 exons.